UAUGAAGGGUGCAAGCGUUAAUCGGAAUUACUGGGCGUAAAGCGCGCGUAGGUGGUUCAGUAAGUUGGAAGUGAAAUCCCCGGGCUCAACCUGGGAACUGCUUUCAAAACUGCUGAGCUAGAGUACGGUAGAGGGUGGUGGAAUUUCCUGUGUAGCGGUGAAAUGCGUAGAUAUAGGAAGGAACACCAGUGGCGAAGGCGACCACCUGGACUGAUACUGACACUGAGGUGCGAAAGCGUGGGGAGCAAACAGG
Molecule: ribosomal RNA, 253 nt
Filed under: uncultured bacterium
Lineage: Bacteria
Description: partial 16S ribosomal RNA
Rfam family: Bacterial small subunit ribosomal RNA
Source: RNAcentral